Molecule: ribosomal RNA, 719 nt
Filed under: uncultured bacterium
Lineage: Bacteria
Description: bacterial SSU rRNA
Rfam family: Bacterial small subunit ribosomal RNA
Source: RNAcentral
CAGGAUUAGAUACCCUGGUAGUCCACGCUGUAAACGAUGAUCACUCGUUGUCGGUAUGAAUAUGUCGGCGGCUAAGCGAAAGUGAUAAGUGAUCCACCUGGGGAGUACGUUCGCAAGUAUGAAACUCAAAGGAAUUGACGGGGGCCCGCACAAGCGGAGGAGCAUGUGGUUUAAUUCGAUGAUACGCGAGGAACCUUACCUAGACUUGAACGUAUAUGGAGUUAUGUAGAAAUAUGUAAGCCAGCAAUGGCCAUUUACGAGGUGCUGCAUGGUUGUCGUCAGCUCGUGCCGUGAGGUGUUAGGUUAAGUCCUGCAACGAGCGCAACCCUUACCGUUAGUUACCAGCAUGUAGAGAUGGGGACUCUGGCGGAACUGCCCGCGCAAGCGUGGAGGAAGGUGGGGAUGACGUCAAAUCAGCACGGCCCUUACGUCUAGGGCGACACACGUGCUACAAUGGCCGGUACAGAGGGCAGCUACACAGCGAUGUGAUGCUAAUCUCGAAAGCCGGUCUCAGUUCGGAUCGGAGUCUGCAACUCGACUCCGUGAAGUUGGAUUCGCUAGUAAUCGCGCAUCAGCCAUGGCGCGGUGAAUACGUUCCCGGGCCUUGUACACACCGCCCGUCAAGCCAUGGAAGUUUGGGGCGCCUAAAGUACGUCACCGCAAGGAGCGUCCUAGGGCGAAACAAGUAACUGGGGCUAAGUCGUAACAAGGUAACCGUA